AGUCAUCAACCCCUCGAGCUUUUCGGAGCGAGAGGCCGGUUGGAGCUGGGGGACUGCCGCCGAAGGGCGGCUCCCCUCAAAUGCGUCGGUUCGGGCCUGAGGGUCGAACUCGACUGGGCGUUGUAACCAUCCUCGCUCGCGUCGAGAAGUUCCCCGAUUCGCGCCUGACCACGACCUGCCGACGAGCGGCGGUCAAGCCUUCUUUUUGAAAU
RNAcentral lists this unclassified non-coding RNA (212 nucleotides) under uncultured Trechisporales. Its description in RNAcentral is "sequence contains ITS2". The record is from RNAcentral. Lineage: Eukaryota; Fungi; Basidiomycota; Agaricomycetes; Trechisporales.